AAGGUCUUCGGAUCGUAAAACUCUGUUGUUAGGGAAGAAUAAGUACGGACCGAAAAGGUCAGUACCUUGACGGUACCUAACCAGAAAGCCCCGGCUAACUACGUGCCAGCAGCCGCGGUAAUGCGUAGGGGGCAAGCGUUGUCCGGAAUUAUUGGGCGUAAAGGGCACGCAGGCGGUCUUUUAAGUCCGAUGUGAAAUCUCGUAGCUUAACUACGAGCGGUCAUUGGAAACUGGAAGACUUGAGGACAGAAGAGGAGAGUGGAAUUCCACGUGUAGCGGUGAAAUGCGUAGAGAUGUGGAGGAACACCAGUGGCGAAGGCGACUCUCUGGUCUGUAACUGACGCUGAGGCGCGAAAGCGUGGGGAGCGAACAGGAUUAGAUACCCUGGUAGUCCACGCCGUAAACGAUGAGUGCUAGGUGUUAGGGGGUUUCCGCCCCUUAGUGCUGCAGUUAACGCAUUAAGCACUCCGCCUGGGGAGUACGGCCGCAAGGCUGAAACUCAAAAGAAUUGACGGGGGCCCGCACAAGCGGUGGAGCAUGUGGUUUAAUUCGAAGCAACGCGAAGAACCUUACCAGGUCUUGACAUCCCUUUGACCGUCCUAGAGAUAGGACUUUCCCUUCGGGGACAAAGGUGACAGGUGGUGCAUGGUUGUCGUCAGCUCGUGUCGUGAGAUGUUGGGUUAAGUCCCGUAACGAGCGCAACCC
Molecule: ribosomal RNA, 705 nt
Filed under: uncultured bacterium
Lineage: Bacteria
Description: bacterial SSU rRNA
Rfam family: Bacterial small subunit ribosomal RNA
Source: RNAcentral